GAUGAACGCUGGCGGCGUGCCUAAUACAUGCAAGUCGAGCGAACAGACGAGGAGCUUGCUCCUCUAACGUUAGCGGCGGACGGGUGAGUAACACGUGGAUAACCUACCUAUAAGACUGGGAUAACUUCGGGAAACCGGAGCUAAUACCGGAUAAUAUAUUGAACCGCAUGGUUCAAUAGUGAAAGACGGUUUUGCUGUCACUUAUAGAUGGAUCCGCGCCGCAUUAGCUAGUUGGUAAGGUAACAGCUUACCAAGGCAACGAUGCGUAGCCGACCUGAGAGGGUGAUCGGCCACACUGGAACUGAGACACGGUCCAGACUCCUACGGGAGGCAGCAGUAGGGAAUCUUCCGCAAUGGGCGAAAGCCUGACGGAGCAACGCCGCGUGAGUGAUGAAGGUCUUCGGAUCGUAAAACUCUGUUAUUAGGGAAGAACAAAUGUGUAAGUAACUAUGCACGUCUUGACGGUACCUAAUCAGAAAGCCACGACUAACUACGUG
RNAcentral lists this ribosomal RNA (497 nucleotides) under uncultured bacterium. RNAcentral's name for it is "partial 16S ribosomal RNA". It matches the Rfam family "Bacterial small subunit ribosomal RNA", at positions 28 to 507 of the family's 1533-position model. The record is from RNAcentral.